Molecule: ribosomal RNA, 464 nt
Filed under: Vreelandella stevensii
Lineage: Bacteria; Pseudomonadati; Pseudomonadota; Gammaproteobacteria; Oceanospirillales; Halomonadaceae
Description: partial 16S ribosomal RNA
Rfam family: Bacterial small subunit ribosomal RNA
Source: RNAcentral
CCUCGGGAGGCAGCAGUGGGGAAUAUUGGACAAUGGGCGAAAGCCUGAUCCAGCCAUGCCGCGUGUGUGAAGAAGGCCUUCGGGUUGUAAAGCACUUUCAGUGGGGAAGAAAGCCUUGGGGCUAAUACCCUCGAGGAAGGACAUCACCCACAGAAGAAGCACCGGCUAACUCCGUGCCAGCAGCCGCGGUAAUACGGAGGGUGCGAGCGUUAAUCGGAAUUACUGGGCGUAAAGCGCGCGUAGGCGGUCUGAUAAGCCGGUUGUGAAAGCCCCGGGCUCAACCUGGGAACGGCAUCCGGAACUGUCAGGCUAGAGUGCAGGAGAGGAAGGUAGAAUUCCCGGUGUAGCGGUGAAAUGCGUAGAGAUCGGGAGGAAUACCAGUGGCGAAGGCGGCCUUCUGGACUGACACUGACGCUGAGGUGCGAAAGCGUGGGUAGCAAACAGGAUUAGAUACCCGUGUAGUC